Long non-coding RNA from Ornithorhynchus anatinus (platypus), 343 nucleotides. RefSeq lists it as uncharacterized. The record is from RefSeq and is a predicted model, not a curated record. The transcript is spliced from 2 exons. NCBI's taxonomy places the organism in Eukaryota, Metazoa, Chordata, Mammalia, Monotremata, Ornithorhynchidae.
GCAAAAUGGGGAUGUGGCGGGGACGGCCGUCCGGGACGGUGGCCGUGCCUAACCCUAAACUGUCGUUGCCUUAUACUGUCGAGUCGUGUCUGACCCACAGAGACGGCCGUGGACACAUCUCUCUCGGACGGCCCCGCUCUCCAUCUGCAAUCGAUCUGGAGCUGCCGGCGGGAGGCAGAGGAAGAGAAGAGCAGGGGCUGAGAAGCAGGAGGAAGAUAACGACCGGAGUCUUACCUCUAUUAGCUGGGCCACCAUCUUCGGCCCGUCUGCUCCCGGAUUGGCCGCUUUAUCAAACUCCAGAUCGAAAUAAAGUUUGCACACGGUGUUCUCAGGAAUAACCUCA